RNAcentral lists this small RNA (81 nucleotides) under unclassified sequences. RNAcentral's name for it is "NAD+-I sequence". It matches the Rfam family "nadA riboswitch". The record is from Rfam by way of RNAcentral.
GCUUUCAACAUCCCCGUCUCAGAGGUGAGAAGACGGUAUCGGCCCAUGCCGAUACCAGACGACCUUUGUGAGACUGAAGGC